CAGAGUACUAGGGAAGGGGAGCUGUGCAGAAAAGAAGCACCAAAAAUCUGCAUAGGGGUACUCUUAAGUCUGACUGAAUACUGAGCUGUACAUAAGCAAGGCAAGACUUCUUGGGGCGCGGCAGAAAACAGCCACUGGAGGUCACAUACUGCUGGGAGCCAUCAGAGUUCAAAUCAGCCAGCGUGCGAAGGUCUAACUCAACAACCCAAGCAUGCGGUAAAGGUCACAGGUUAGGGGUAAGGCUACUGUACCUCUAAAGUAAAGACAACUCUUGACCUAUCCUAAAAUUGAGCCUUGACAGGAUCAAGCUAUCCUGUCAGUACUACAGCUACCUGCCAGAACAAAACUCAGUACUUGUACAGGAAGACAGCAAAUUCCUGUUGUCAACAGUGUAGUAUCCACAAUAUCCACUAUAGAGUAAGCCAGUAUUAUAUAGGCUAAGCAGGAAAAUGUGACCCUUAACCAGGGGAGAAAGUCAUUCAUAGAAACAGGCCCAGAGGAGACCCACAUAUUUGAAUUAGCAGAUAAAAACUUUAACAACGAUUAUAAACAUGUUCAAGGGUUUUUAAGUAAAAAUAAUAGCAUAAUAGGAAAGGAGACAGUAAUUACAGACAGAAAAAUGAAAACUAUAAAAACCAAAUGAGAAUUUUAGAAUUGAAAAAUACAAUACUUGAAAUAAAAAUUCAUUCUAUGAACCUAAUAGAAGAUUGGAGACAGAAGAAAUGAUCAGUAAACUUAGAGGCAGGGAAAUACAAGCUAUCCAAACUGAUGCACAAAGAGGAAAAACUACCAAGGAAAAGAAAAUAAUUGCGCCUCAGUGAACUACGGAACCAUACAAAACAGACUGCGUAAAUGUAACUGGAGACCAACAAGAGGGGAAGAGGAUGGGAGAGUAAAAGAAAAAUUGAAAAAGUACUCACCAAAAUUCUUCCCAAAUUUGAAGAAAUGUAUAAGUCAGAGUUUCAAGAAGUUUAACCACAAACACACUCACAUCUGUUCAUAUCCUAGUUAAAUGGCUAGAAAGCAAAAAAAAAAACUAAAAUUUUUUUUCAGAGACAAAAGAUAUAUACAAGGGUAAUGAUGUUUAUUCCCCAGUAACAAUGGAGAACAGAAGAUAAUUGUAUAACAUCUUUAAAGAGUGGAAAGAAAAAAGUGUCAAACUAGAAUAGUAUAUUCAGUAAAACAGCCUUUUAAAAUAAUGGUUAUAUAAAGAUAUUCCAAUAAAUAUUGUCAGAAUGUAACCAGCGGACCUGCACACAAGAAAAGUUAAAAGAACUUCUUUAGGCAGUUGGGGAAUGAAACUAGCCAGAGAUUUUGAUGUAUACAAAAUAAUAAAGUUCACCACAUAAAUGAUAAAUGUUUAGUAAAAUAUACAGUGUUUUCCCUUACAUGUAUAAAAAGGCAAUUGAGACCAGGCGUGGUGGCUCACACCUGUAAUCCCAGCACUUUGGGGGACCGAGGUGGUGGAUCACCUGAGGUCAGGAAUUCAAAACCAGCCUGGACAACAUGGUGAAACCCCAUCUCUACAAAAGUACAAAAAUUAGCCAGGCGUGGUGGUACGUGCCUCUAAUCCCAGCUACUCAGGAGGCCAAGGCACAAGAAUCACCUCACUGAGGUGGAGGUUGCAGUGAGCUGAGAUCUCACCAUUGCACUGCAGCCUGAGAGCAAGACUCUGUCUCCAAAAAAAAAAAAAAAAAAAA
Macaca fascicularis (crab-eating macaque) is the source of this 1700-nucleotide long non-coding RNA. Lineage: Eukaryota; Metazoa; Chordata; Mammalia; Primates; Cercopithecidae. The record is from Ensembl.